CUACGGGUCGCUCCAGUGAGGAAUAUUGCGCAAUGGGGGGAACCCUGAUGCAGCAACGCCGCGUGGAGGAUGACGCAUUUCGGUGUGUAAACUCCUUUUAUAUGUCAAGAAAAUGACGGUAGCAUAUGAAUAAGCACCGGCUAACUCCGUGCCAGCAGCCGCGGUAAUACGGAGGGUGCAAGCGUUACUCGGAAUCACUGGGCGUAAAGGACGCGUAGGCGGGCUGGAAAGUUAGGUGUGAAAUCCUACAGCUUAACUGUAGAACUGCACUUGAAACUUCUAAUCUAGAGUAUGGGAGGGGGAGAUGGAAUUAGUGGUGUAGGGGUAAAAUCCGUAGAUAUCACUAGGAAUACCUAAAGCGAAGGCGAUCUCCUGGAACAUUACUGACGCUAAGGCGUGAAAGCGUGGGGAGCAAACAGGAUUAGAUACCCUCGUAGUC
This 439-nucleotide ribosomal RNA is filed under the name uncultured bacterium. Its description in RNAcentral is "partial 16S ribosomal RNA". It matches the Rfam family "Bacterial small subunit ribosomal RNA", at positions 339 to 795 of the family's 1533-position model. The record is from RNAcentral.